RNAcentral lists this long non-coding RNA (1128 nucleotides) under Apteryx haastii (Great spotted kiwi). RNAcentral's name for it is "lncRNA (ENSAHAG00000012742.1)". The record is from RNAcentral. Lineage: Eukaryota; Metazoa; Chordata; Aves; Apterygiformes; Apterygidae.
AUGUAUUUCCUAAUGAUCUUGUCCCUUCUAGGAGCAAUAACAGGUGAGACUUUCUUUCACCAACAAGAACAUGGAAAUCUUGUACUUCAGUGCAAUCAGCCAGUUGCUAAAGAAAGUAAGAGAAUAGAUUGGUAUAAGACAGCAGACGAUAUGCAACAAUUUGAGUUAAUUAACUGCUCUUCCAAGUGUAAUCACUUGUGUACAGAAACAGUUUGCAAUGAAACCUUAGAGGUGGCACGAGUUUCAUCUGAUGGGAGGAUGUUUGCAUGUGGAGCACUUUCAAGUGAUGAAGAACCAAUGACUUCCCUACUAUUCAGCAAUGCGUCUCACUGCAGGCGCUAUAGCUUCUUUCUUGUACAGACUAAAACCGAAUCAGGGAAAAAGAGCUCAGGCAAUGUUCAGGAAAAAUCCCAAGUCUCUCUCAAAUUCAAAGAAACAGAUAACAUCACCCUGUCUUGUGAAUUUUACACUAACUGCUCAGGACACUGUUUUUUUAUGUACUGGAUCAGAGUCAGUAAAACAAGUGAAUGCCUUUUUUCUGCUGCGAAUGAAGCCCUGGCCCCAAGCUUGACUUUUAAUGAGCACUGCUGUGUUGAUCGCGACAUCCAGGAACGACUGCUGAACAAUACAAACUUCAAUUCCACUCACAAAAGACAUAACAUGACUAUCCUGAACGUCACGAGUGCUGACAGCGGGCAAUAUUUAUGCAUUGUUGCUGCCUGGCAACAUGGUAAACUUGAGUGGCAAGUUCCUACUAACCGGUCAGUGGAUGUUCAGAAAGACCAAACGGCACCUAUGCAGUGGCAUGUCAUCUCUGGAGCUGUAGCUGGGAUUAUUUUUCUCAAUGUGACAGUAGGACUGAUCUGUCUGAAGAUAUUCAAAUCAAAAGGGAAAAAAACAACCACACAAGUUACCAGAGAUCACGAUGCUAUUGGAAUGACAGAAGAUGAAUGUUCUCCAUAUGCAGUAAGUGGCAGCAGCGACAUGUACAGAAAUGAGAGCCUUUACUCCCGUGUAACAAGGACCUGCACGGAGCCAAAUGGGCCCUCUUCUAGCCCAGAUAACAGGGCUACUGGGGCAGGACAGGGAGCAGAUAUACGUACUGUCUAUGCACUGCUGAAUAAAUAG